This is a long non-coding RNA of Salvelinus fontinalis (brook trout), 624 nucleotides long. RefSeq lists it as uncharacterized. The transcript has 2 exons. The record is from RefSeq and is a predicted model, not a curated record. Lineage: Eukaryota; Metazoa; Chordata; Actinopteri; Salmoniformes; Salmonidae.
CAAUUCAUUUUUUCUAUAACUACGCUAUAUUGUUUGUCCUUGUGUGUCCGUUCAUGUUUUUCAGCAUAAAGUACUCUGCAGCCACUUAGUGUGGUGUGGACACCAGGUGAGGCCACACACAGAUUCCUGUUGAACACUGUCGCUUUAACUACCUUAUUUUCUCAAUAACAGUCUCUCUCCUUCACUUCAUCCCUCUCUCCCCUUCUCCCUAAGUCCUCUAGGUUAUAUCAGCUGUGUCGGUGAACCCCUCCUGCAUCUGAACUGGCUACAUAGAGGGCACAGCAUGAUCAGAGAUAUGUUUUGAUGUGAGAGGAUGCCAACCCCCAGUCCCAUCAUCGCCACCUCACCUGCUUUUAAGAUAACCUGUGGGCCGACUAGAGACACUGUUAUGUAAUUGUGAUAAACUGAGAGAAUAUUUAUGUAGCACUGUGAUUCAUUAAUCAUGUGCUGCCUUCCCUGCUCCUAUGUGCUUACCUCUUUCCCUUUCUGUCUUUUACACCUCUCUCUCACCUCCUCUUUCUUCCUCUGUUUUUAUAAUGCACAACAGAUGUGCAUUGAAGUACAGAUUGAACUUGUAUUUAUAACACUUGGAUAAUGAGCUUUUCAAUAAAGCGUUUCACAUUC